AGAGUUUGAUCCUGGCUCAGAACGAACGCUGGCGGCAGGCCUAACACAUGCAAGUCGAACGAGAAGCCACCUUCGGGUGGUGGACAGUGGCAGACGGGUGAGUAACGCGUGGGAACGUGCCUUUCGGUUCGGGAUAACCCAGGGAAACUUGGACUAAUACCGGAUACGCCCUUCGGGGGAAAGAUUUAUUGCCGAAAGAUCGGCCCGCGUCGGAUUAGCUAGUUGGUGAGGUAAAAGCUCACCAAGGCGACGAUCCGUAGCUGGUCUGAGAGGAUGACCAGCCACACUGGGACUGAGACACGGCCCAGACUCCUACGGGAGGCAGCAGUGGGGAAUAUUGGACAAUGGGCGCAAGCCUGAUCCAGCCAUGCCGCGUGGGUGAAGAAGGCCUUAGGGUUGUAAAUCCCUUUCAGCGGGGAAGAUAAUGACGGUACCCGCAGAAGAAGCCCCGGCUAACUCCGUGCCAGCAGCCGCGGUAAUACGGAGGGGGCUAGCGUUGUUCGGAAUUACUGGGCGUAAAGCGCGCGUAGGCGGACCUGUAAGUCGGGGGUGAAAGCCCGAGGCUCAACCUCGGAACUGCCUCCGAUACUACAGGUCUUGAGUCCGAGAGAGGUGAGUGGAAUUCCUAGUGUAGAGGUGAAAUUCGUAGAUAUUAGGAAGAACACCAGUGGCGAAGGCGGCUCACUGGCUCGGUACUGA
This 699-nucleotide ribosomal RNA is filed under the name uncultured bacterium. RNAcentral describes it as "bacterial SSU rRNA". It matches the Rfam family "Bacterial small subunit ribosomal RNA", at positions 8 to 743 of the family's 1533-position model. The record is from RNAcentral.